Non-coding RNA from Delphinapterus leucas (beluga whale), 791 nucleotides. Lineage: Eukaryota; Metazoa; Chordata; Mammalia; Artiodactyla; Monodontidae. The record is from RefSeq and is a predicted model, not a curated record.
AUUCUGAAUUCCUGGACAGAGGCUACGUCUGCAUAUUGGCUCAUCUUGGUUUGAGAAUCUAUCCUGGACCCAAGAGUAGAGUCUCACAGGAGAGGAGCUACCCCUUCUAGAGGUCAUGUUCAAUAAAAAUUAACCUGGAAGAAAAACUGGGAACUCCUCUACUUGCAAGGGAAGCUCAUUCAGAAGCCACCACUUUAGAAACACUACUAACAUCCCCCAGGAAGUGGUGUUUGCACAGUGCUCCUUGAGUAACGAAUCCCUGGGGAACGAACCUUCUUUGCAGGAUGUGGGGCUGUGCUAAAAAACCCUUCAUAAAUCAUGCAGCCGACUACCCACGCUGGCAGCCGCAUGCCAGCAUCCCUCAACACACAGCUCCUGUUUGGCACCGCCGUGCUGAAGCCGAUCUGCCUCUGCUUAUGAAUUGCGGGACGUGGGUAAACCAUCAGCCUCUCCUUUACCACCCACUUCUUUCUUGAUGUGGAAGGCCCUGCACGAACAUGAGUCUGACAGCCCCUUCCUCCAGACUGCCCACUUGGACCUGAACUUUCUCCACUGCCAUCAACCUUCUCAGCCCGAGCUCCAUCUCCCCUGACCUCAACUCAACAGCUUCCUUUCCUCCAAGAAUACCAGUGGAUGGAGCCAGCCCUUUGGCUGACCGUGGGGCACAGACUUGCGGGAAGAGCGCCGUCUUCGGAGUUUCUGCAGGUUUACAUCUCAUCAGCCGUGAGCCACUUGCGAGUCGCCCAACGUGUCUGAGUCCCAGUUUCUUCGACCACGGAACAGAGGGGAAA